GCAAACGCAAACUCCCGAUUUUUUGACAGCUUUCGCGUCGUCCAUCGUAAUCUUCGCGUUCGCGUGCUUCCGCCCAAACGUCAACCAUCGGAGUUGUCUUCCUUUCCGUCACUUUAGUUUGAAUAAAGUAGACACAUUUUGUCAAGCUAACUCGCCCAAGAUGGUCCAGCGAUUGACUCUGAGAAGACGUCUGUCUUACAACACCAAGUCCAACAAGCGACGUGUUGUCCGCACGCCCGGUGGCCGUCUGGUGUACCUGUACGUCAAGAAGCAGCGCACCGUGCCAAAAAUGCGGCCAGUGCAAGGAGAAGCUGAGCGGAAUCAAGCCAUCCCGGCCGAGCGAGCGCCCACGUAUGUGCCGCCGUCUGAAGACCGUGACCCGAACCUUCGGUGGUGUCCUCUGCCAUCGUUGUCUCCGUGAACGCAUCGUCCGUGCAUUCCUGAUCGUAUGACAGAAGGCGUCAAGGUGCUGAAGGCCCAACAGCUCGGCAAGCCCAUCAGCAAGCCACCGAAGAUCCAGAAGACCCCGGCCAAGGCCGCCAGCAAGAGCAAGUAAGGCGCUUGUGACCGUGGUUCGAGUGUGGAAGCCAAGGGGGAAGCAGGAGGAGGUGUACUAUAUAAGAACAUGCUAAUGGAAAAAAGAAUAAAUCCGGUUAAAAAAAAUUUACGGAA
RNA transcript from Aedes aegypti (yellow fever mosquito), 672 nucleotides. It is a transcript of the gene named 60S ribosomal protein L34, with no coding region annotated. NCBI's taxonomy places the organism in Eukaryota, Metazoa, Arthropoda, Insecta, Diptera, Culicidae. The transcript is spliced from 3 exons. The record is from RefSeq and is a predicted model, not a curated record.